Molecule: ribosomal RNA, 440 nt
Filed under: uncultured bacterium
Lineage: Bacteria
Description: partial 16S ribosomal RNA
Rfam family: Bacterial small subunit ribosomal RNA
Source: RNAcentral
CCUACGGGUUGCUGCAGUGGGGGAUAUUGCACAAUGGGGGAAACCCUGAUGCAGCGACGCCGCGUGGGUGAAGAAGCGCCUCGGCGCGUAAAGUCCUGUCAGCAGGGAAGAAAAUGACGGUACCUGCAGAAGAAGCCCCGGCUAACUACGUGCCAGCAGCCGCGGUAAUACGUAGGGGGCAAGCGUUAUCCGGCUUUACUGGGGGUAAAGGGGGCGCAGACGGCGAGGCAAGCCAGGCGUGAAAGCCCGGGGCCCAACCCCGGGACUGCUCUUGGAACUGCGUGGCUAGAGUGCAGGAGGGGCAGGCGGAAUUCCUGGGGUAGCGGUGAAAUGCGUAGAUAUCAGGAGGAACACCGGUGGCGAAGGCGGCCUGCUGGACUGCAACUGACGUUGAGGCCCGAAAGCGUGGGGAGCAAACAGGAUUAGAUACCCGUGUAGUC